CCUACAGCAUGGUCAUGCCCAUCUACUCACAGCAAGCGCUGGACGGGUACGACGCCCAGUUCCCCACAAGUGUGGGUCCAGACUUUGCCCGCUUCUGAGCUUCCAGGACCUGCCCAAGGGCAGUGCAGCGAACCAUUCUGCCCCCUCCUGCAUCAGAGCCUCACCCUGCUCCUCCAGCUCAUGGGGUAUACCCACCCUGUGGACCAGCCAUGCCCAGACAUCUCUCCUAUACACUUACCUGUUCCUCUCCCUGCACCUCCAUCUCUCUGCCCUCCUCCUCCCUGAGUCUCUUUUGCCCCAAGCCUCCUCCCUGUACCUCCUUUCCCAUGCUCCCCCUUUUCCCUACAACUCCUUGUGCCUCAUUUCCCUCCCCCUUCUUCCUGUGCCUCCUUCUCUCUGAACUGCACCUCUGCCCCCCUCCUUUUCCCUGUCCCUCCUUAUUUCUGAACUGCACCUCUAUGCACCUCCUUUUCCCUGUCCCUCCUUCUCUCUGAACUGCACCUCUGUGCACCUCCUUUUCCCUGUGCCUCCUUCUCUCUGAACUGCACCUCUGUGCCCCUCCUUUUCCCUGCGCCUCCUUCUCUCUGAACUGCACCUCUGUGCACCUCCUUUUCCCUGUCCCUCCUUCUCUCUGAACUGCACCUCUGUGCCCCUCCUUUUCCCUGCGCCUCCUUCUCCCUGCUUCCCUUUGUUCUGUGUGGUCACUGAUAGGAUCAGCACAUGCUGAUAUGUGAAUAUAACGUUUGCAGUAAAUGCUGUACUUUAAUGUAGCUAAACAUUCAGCCCUAGUUUAUAGUGAAUGAGACCAUAGCCUUGCUGAGAGCAGACUAGCAGCAGUUUCUACCAGUGGGUGGGACUGCCUGACAUUAAGGCAAUACUUUAAAAAAAACAUUAAUGAUGUAAUUUCCUGUGGCAGUAACUCCAUCUCAGUGCAACUAUGAUGUGCUCAGUUAUGGGAUUGGCAUAUACUGCCCCUUUACCCCAAGCUGCAGAUCUAAUGCCCCUUUACCCCAAGCUGCAGAGCUACUGCCCCUUUACCCCAAGCUGCAGAGCUAAUGCCCCUUUACCCCAAGCUG
This is a long non-coding RNA of Anguilla rostrata (American eel), 1076 nucleotides long. RefSeq lists it as uncharacterized. NCBI's taxonomy places the organism in Eukaryota, Metazoa, Chordata, Actinopteri, Anguilliformes, Anguillidae. The transcript has 4 exons. The record is from RefSeq and is a predicted model, not a curated record.